GUUUUUACUCUUUCAAGAAGAGUUUUCCGGAAGAUUAGAGGAAGGCAGAUGUGGUUCCUACAUUUUAAAAGGGUUCAAAAUUCUUGCCUGGACAUUAUAGACCUGUGAGCUUAACUUCUGUGACUGGGAAAAUAUGUGAAGGGCUAUUCAGGAAUUCAUUGGGAAGAACUUUGUUAUUAGCAAUAAUCAGCACGAUUUUAUGAAGCACAGGUCAUGUCAAACUAACU
Molecule: non-coding RNA, 227 nt
Organism: Pelobates cultripes (western spadefoot toad)
Lineage: Eukaryota; Metazoa; Chordata; Amphibia; Anura; Pelobatidae
Source: the annotation of a GenBank genome assembly